This 131-nucleotide non-coding RNA is filed under the name Lotharella oceanica. The record is from RNAcentral. Lineage: Eukaryota; Cercozoa; Chlorarachniophyceae.
UUGCCUUUCUUUUUUCUUUUUUUCUUUUUUUCCGAUUUCCGAUUAAUGAUGCUGUGGAUUCCUUGUGCGUGCUGUCUCGACGGGAAAAAAAAAAAAACGCUUGCCUGCACUGCUGCAAUGAACUACAGAAG